UUUCCUAUUACAGAUAGUAAGGCUGAAGAUGGAAAAGCACCUGACAAGUCUGAAGAGGAUGCAUCAGGAAAAGACAUGAAACAGCCAGCAGUGGAGGACCAGUCUGAGCUUGUCUCUAGUAGUGACAAAUAAAGCAUUUAAACUGUGAAAGGAGCCAGGGUUACAGUCCAGCAAGCCAAACUACUGUGUUGUGACAGAAGAAGAGCUAAGCAAAGGAAACAUAAAGAAUGUCAUGUGUCCUGGAAGGCUGUGCUAUGUGGUGGUGUAGUAAAAGAUGUGUUAUCUUCCUGGGAAAUAUUUCCUUUUCCAUAUGGAGAUUGUUUUGAAGAUGGACGUACUGGGAAUGUUUGAAGAUGGACAUCUAUUGAAUCACACACCAAAUGCCUUCCCAUUCAUCCCUUCAGUCCUUAAUUUUUACAAGCAGUCACAGCGCUUCAUUUAUUCAUGCCAGUUCUUAGCGAUUAACAACACCCUACUCUUGAUGUGUAUGAAAAACUAAUCCCUGUGAUAUACUGCCUAUUUUUGUACAGUUUAGAUGAAAAAGAGAAACAGAUUCAGAGAAAAGACAGGUUCAGCCUGCAGCAGUAAAUAAGUUUCUUCUAAAUUCUUUCCCUUGGUGGAACUCAGUGGAAGAUGGGAAAGAAUGAUCUUUGGUUCUUUAGAAGUGACUUUCUGAGCUAAGGACCCAACCUGCUCUUGAACUGGAAUGGAAGCUGUACUUAUGCAAGUGUUGUAAAAACUCCAUUUUUAUUACAAGUCUUGCAGUAUUUGAGUAUGUUUAAAGCCCAAGGUUCUGUAUUCGUAUCUUGAACGUGCAGAGAGGCUUGGAUGUAGACGAUUCAUAGGGUCCAUUCCAAAACUGAGUCUGUGAGACAAUGAAAAUAGAAAAUUCAGGCUGAAGCCAGCCUGAAUUUUAUGAAGAACCAUGAUGAAUGUGAAAGAUAACUAGUGGACAUGAGAAGCCAUGAGACUCUUACCUUGCUGUGGGCCUGUGAAUUUCUUAUCAAGGAACACUCUUCAGUUGUGUAUUGUACACAGUCUUCCAAGCUUUUGCUACAAAAAAAGUGUGUGUCAGGGAAUCUCUUGGUGAUCAGCCCUGUAGUUAAAAAAUCAGAAGGAACCUGUUAUGGGCAAAUUGACCUUCCAAGCAAGUUCAGUGGAUCCUAUAUGACCUAAGGUUGAAUGAUAAGCAGGGCUGGACACAGGUAUGGGUGUACUGGGUGGCUGCUUGGGGCCUAGACAGACUGGGGGCCCGAACAUAGUAAUUU
Molecule: long non-coding RNA, 1268 nt
Organism: Gavialis gangeticus (Gharial)
Lineage: Eukaryota; Metazoa; Chordata; Crocodylia; Gavialidae
Exons: 3
Source: RefSeq, a predicted model, not a curated record